ACAAAUCUAAGCCUUUUUAUUCAUCCCACAUCUCAAAAACUUACAAACUCUGAAGAAAGAGAUGGAUAAGUCAUCCAUGAAGCUGGUUUUUUUGGUUGUGCUCUUGAUUCUCGUAGCUGGUAUUUAAUUUUUUUUUUCAAUAAUGGCAUUGCUAUUAUAGAAAUGUGAAUAGAUUUAAAAUAUUUGAUUAAUUAUAUGAUUGGACGAUACAAAUAUAUAGGUGAGGUUUCGAACAUUGGAGCAGAAGGAAGAGUUAACCAAAUCAUACCGUGCGUCUGUUCUCCUCGAUGCUUUUGCGCCAGCGGCUUUGGUUGUCUUUGCCCCGAAGAUUUGCCAUUGACUUCCCAUCAACCACACCACGGUCCCAGGGUGUCGUCAGAGGAUCCGCCAAUGCCUUAGAAUUGCAAAAAAUCGAAGUAUUACUGUUAAUUGUAAUGUAUUAAUAAUUGAAAAUGAAAGGGAUUCUGAGGUGAAAUGAGAUAUGGCCAUAGGCGGCACAGGCAAUGCAAUUCAUACGCACGACCGACUCAUGUCAAUGACGAAUAUUGGACGUUGGGUCCGAAAAUGGAUUGGGGAGAGUCGAGCAUAUCUCGGAUAAACCCAGUGACAUAGUCAGGAUUUGAGUCUAGUAGAGUCCAUGUUAUGACGUAGUUUAGUCCGUUCAUACAGUGGUACGAUGACGAAGCAUUGACAGCCAAAGAUCCGCAUACAGAUGACGACCAAACAACCGGAAAUAAGGUGACUCGUUACGAAGAAUAGCGGUGAUCAGUCGAUGGAUGAGGUGAACUUACAGACAUAAGGUAGAUGAAACCAAAGAUUGAAGAAGUACAGCCCUAAAUGUGGCAAUUUUGCGUUCCACAAGCCUAUUUUGUCCAGUGACUUCCUGACAAGAUUAGCGAUAUAUAAUACCGAGACGUUUGUAUAAAUCAAGUAGCCGAUUCGAGGAAUAUUACCUUCGAGGAUCAAUUGAAUGGUAUUAAUUGUCUUGUUGAAUUGAGUGCGAGUCGUGGUAACGAGAUACGGGACACUUGUUAACAAUAGUUUAUAGCGUUACGGGACACUUGUUAACUUGAUAAAUAAAGUUAUGGAAAAGUAAUUUCUUUAAAAAAAAUUAAAGAAAUUAAUGCAAUUCAGAAAAAAUGGCAUUAAUUGUACACAAGGUCAACUUAAUUUGUUUGGUGUCACUUUAAUUAUUCUGUUGAGUAAUAUCUGGUUAAAAAAGUCAAUAGUUAUCUAAAACUCCAUCUCAACUGUAUAUAAAUACAACCAAAUCUUAACAUUUUUGCCCACACACCUCGAACAACUAUCAAGUACUGAAACCUAGCUUUGAAGAGCAGGGAGAUGGAUAAGGCAUCUACGAAGCUGAUUUUUUUGGUUGUGCUCUUGAUCAUCGUUGCAGGUAUUUUUUGGGUAUUAUUGUUAGAAAAAUGUGAAUCCCGUUUUAAAAAAUUUGACUAAUUAUAUAAUCGGACAAUGCAAUUGUAGGUGCAACUUCAAACAUUGGAGCAGAAGGACGAGUAGUUAACCAACAACUCCUGCCAUGCUUCUGUGAUCCUAAAUGCCUUUGCGGCCCCUUUAGGACCUGCAUUUGCAACGAGGAUUCGUCGUUGACUUCCGAACCACACGAAGACCCCUGGAUGCCGCCCAUGAAUCCGCCAAAGCCUUCCGAGUAAAAUUGAAAACAUGUCAUGUAGUCUUGGUUGGGAGGGUACUCGUAACUUAUGUGUUGUAUAGUAAAGUUGUCAAUAAUCCUCUACUCUUACCAAUUUCUUUGUAUUUUGCCAUGGUCGUAAUAAAAAUAAAUUAUGCAAUCGCAGUAAGCCUAUUUUCAUAGAGUCCAGCUAUAAUUAAUUUCGAUCAUGUUCAAGGACGUUUCAAUGACCGUCUUUGAAGCAAUUUUCCGAUCAUCGUUAGAAUCAAUGUGAUAAGGAAAGUUCCCCAAGAUAAUCACCAGUAAAAUGCUUUACAAUAACUAGUUAUAUCGAUAUCAGAAAAGGAAUUGAAUUGGUGUGUUUUGAUGAUCUGCAAUCACUCCUUUUAUAGCUACUUGAUGAGAUCACGGUGAUCAGUUGAGCAUGAAUCAGAUCACCAGUUCUCCCUCCAUCAGCAAUGGCGAAGUCUUUAACAGAAUCGUCAAAUUUCUGUUAAGUACAAACGGUGAUUUUUUGUACCUAGUUUAGACCUGAUAUCGGGCACGGCAACAGAAAAAUUACAAAUCGAUACUCAUCUACUAGAAACAAUUUUAUCUCGCAAGGAUUGAACAAAAAACGUAAAGCAGAAAAUAAAACAUCAUAUUUGUUGACGCUAUUUGGAGAUAGAAAUCUCCUACUCAGCGAAGCCUCAAAGAGGGGAAGGCUAGCCCAAAAUCCACUUUAGGCACAAAAUACAAGAUCGAUUACAAUCAAGAGAUGCAAAUUCCUAACCAAGAACACCCAAAGACCUACAACGAGACAGAUAAUAUACUCGGAGGGUUUCAGCCCCUUUUCAGGCUGAGUUACUCCGGCAGGAUGUUCCUUAAGUAGUGAGCAGAUCACAGACGCGUCACGGAAAUCCCAGAAUCGCUGGUGGCCUCUACAUAUUCUCCAUAGCAGUUAAGAGGAUUCAGAGAGGUAGAGUUUCAAAGGAAAGAAAAUCUUAUUCUCUUCAAACGGCGGAUGUCACUUAUAUAUUAAGUGAGAAGAUUCUACACGCAUCGGUUUACUACCCUACAAAACAAAGAAAAUAUCAAGUCGGACGGUCCAAACAUUUAACCGGAAAAAUAACCGAUUUGGUUUAGGGUUGGUUGCUGCUAAAAUUACAACAAAACCAUUCUUUGAAAGUUUGGAUUAACACUAUGAGUCAAUUGCUAAAUACAACCCAUCAUAUUCAAUAUACUGCCACAAUGCUAGUUUUGCUAUUUAUAACCCAAUUAUAUGCUGAAAAUUAUUUAAGAAUAUUCUUUUAUUUUCUUACCUUGCAUAUAAUUUUUUCUAUGGAAACAGUUUAUAAAAUUACCCGAUAUUCAAAAUGAAUAUUCGUUUAUUUAUAAAACUAUCAUAUUCUUCCAUGGAACCAGUUUUCACACAUUCAAUGCACCAAAAUUAAUAUAAGUCAAUAAUUAUUAAAAAUCCAUAUAUAGAUAUAUAACCAUAUUCUUCAUUAACUAAUUAAGAAAAUCUUAUUCAUUUCCAAAUACCACAUAAUUUACAAUAUAUAAAUCAACCAAACCAAAGCCUUGAAACCCACACAUCUCAAACACUUACAACUAUCGGUACUGCAAAGUUCUAAAGAGAGAUAUCUAUAUAGAGAGAUGGACAAGGCAUCUAUGAAGCUGGUUUUUAUGGUUGUGCUCUUGAUUUUCGUUGCAGGUACAUAGUUUUUUCUUUGGAUAUUAUUGUUCAGAAAAUUGUACUAAAUAUGAUUAAUAAUAUGAUCGGACAAUACGAUUGUAGGUGAGACUUCAAACAUUGGAGCAGAAGGGCAAUUCCUGCCAUGCGCCUGCGUGUCUCCGUGCAUUUGCAGUGGUAUCGGAAGUUGCAUUUGCCCCGCGGAUUUGUCAUUGACUUCCCAAGCACACGACGGUCCCAAGGUGUCGUCAGAGGAUCCACCAUUGCCUUCCCCAUAGAAUUGAAAAAAUUGAACUAUUACCAUUAAUAAUAAUGUAGCCGUAGUUGGGAGAAGAACCUGUAAUUUAUUUGGUUGAGUUAUCAAUCAUGCAAUCAAAGUAAGUUUAUUUUCAGAGAGUCUAGCUAAUUAAUUUCGAUUGUGUUCAAGGACGUCGCGAUGACUGACUGCAUCUUCCAAUUCAUCCUCCUGCUAUCACAAACACGACCCAAACGAACCCGGAACAGGCCAAGGACGCUAGAACAUGAUAUUAGUCUAGAAUGAGUAAAAUCCCUCAAAACUUCUACUCAAAACGAUACUUUAUGCACAAAAAUUUACUUAAAAUUGGGGAGAUGAACGCGCGUAAAGCGAAGGCCAUCAAUAACCGGCCGUCAAUGAAUCAUGCGUUGCAUGCCAAAUGGGGUAGCCCACGAACUCACUCGCCGAUUCCCAAGGUCUUGCGUUCAACCUUCUGAGGGAGACGCUUUCAGAUGAUCUAGUGUUUGUAUUGAACAAUAUUUGUUUCGAUUCGAAUCAUUACUAAUAAAAGAUGCAUGCAUGAGUGAAAAAGAAAUUAUGGAAUAGUUUAUUUUCAAUUAGGUGCAACCGUUUCAUUUAAAACAAAUAUUCAGUCAACAUAUAAUUAAUGCAAUUCAGAAAAAUAAAAAAUGGCAUGCAGUUGCACAAGGUCAACUUUGUUUUCUGUUGAGUAAUAGCUGGUUGAUAUCAAAAUAAAAAUCUGGUUAAAAAAAAAGAAAACUAAUUAUAAAUCCAUAUCAACCUGAGCAUUUCUACCCAAGCAUUUUUACCCAAGCUUUGAAGAAGAGAUAUUUAUCUAGAGAGAUGGAUAGGACACCUAUGAAUUUGAUGAUUUUCUUGGUUGUGCUCUUGAUUUUCGUCCCAGGUAUUUUUUGAGUAUUAUUGUUAGAAAAUUGUGAUUACGAUAUAACAAUGUUCGAUUAGUUAUAUGUUCGAAUGAUGGGAUCGCAGGUGAGACUUCAAAUAAUGGAGCAGAAGGAAGACGUUUGGAAGGAAUACGAGUUAGCCAAACCGUGCCAUGCCUUCCCUGUUCUCUUCCGUGCAUGUGCCUUUUUGAAUACUGUUAUUGCCCGAAAGGAUUCGCCGCAACCACACCACGGACCCGUGGUGCUGCCAAUGGAUCCGCCAACGCCUUCGAAGUAGAAUCGAAAAAGUUGAAGUAUUAAUUAAUAAUGUAGUCUUGGUUGGGAGAGAAACUGGUGUCUAAACUUAUCAAUAAUCCAGUACUUUGUCAAUUUCUCUCUUUUGUAUUUGCUUUAUAUGUACUUGUAAUAGAUUUUCGUGUUUUUUUAGUUCUCAUAUUCGCUUCAGUGACCGAAAAUAGAGUACAAAAUUUGAUUUCAACCUCGUGUGAUGUCCUCAUUUACAAAACGAGUAGAGUUUCAAAAAACUAGUACUACUGAAAAAUUAAAUACAACAUGUUAACAAAACAAAAUGCCCAGAAACAUAGUUCCUACGAAGGUGAUUUAGAGGGCGAAAUUUGUUUGUUUAUGGAGCUCCGGCGACCGAGAAAAUUUAUUGGGAAAUUUCUUGUCCGGUUUCGAAGUUACUGUUUCAAUUUAAAUGUAUGUAAAAUGCCUUUUUUGCCCCUUUAAUAUAGGCCCUUAGAUCUUCUGACUUUAAAUAAGCGAUCCAACAUGGGCUUAAAUGGCCCUUGCUCCUAGCAAUGGAGGCUUUUUCCUUGCUUUUGAUCCGGACUCUUACUAUUAUCUCAUGAAUUUAUUGUAUAAAUAAACCAUCUCCAUCCCAUAAAUUGUUGAGAAUUUCACCGCAACAUCUCUACCCCAUUAAUAAUUUUAUUAAUUAACUUAUUCAACAAUUUCGAACCAUUUUCAUUUAAAUAAUUCUUUAACAAUUUCUAUUUAAUUAUUUAUAUUUUCCUUAAUAAUACUUUCCCUAAUAUAUAAAUGAUAAUUAAUUAAAUAAUAUUUUUGGCCUAUGUUCCAUUUCUAGUAAUUAAUUUCUAAUUUAACAAUCUUGCUAAUUCCACAAACAUUCUUCUAUAUAAUAUUUUUUUCUUACAAGGUAAGCAUUGAGCCUAUAUGCCAUUGCUAGUUAGUUUCCAAUUCAACAAUCUUACUAAUUCAGCCCACACUCUUCCAUUCAAAGCAAUUGCCAAACUUUACUAAUGAAAAUGCUCUAAAAAAGUCAAUAAUAAUUUAAAAUUCAUAUUAAUUGAGAUACUACCAUAUUCUUCCUUAACUAAUUAAGAAAAUUUUAUCCAUUACAACUACCAACAUCUGAAUCAACGAUAUAUAAAUCAACCAGACCAAAACCCUUUCAACUCACACAUCUCAAACAGUUACAACUAUUAGUACUCCAAACCUCUAAAGAAGAGAUAUUUAAAAAGAGAAAUGGAUAACACAUCUACGAAGCUGGUUUCACUUGUUGUGCUAUUGAUUUUCAUCGCGGGUAUUUAAUUUUUUUUCUCUUUGGUGGCAAUAUUAUUUUUUGAAAAAUGUGAAUAUAAUUUGAAAAUAUUUGACUAAUUGUAUAAUCGGACAAUACAAUUGUAGGCGAGACUUCGAACAUCCAAGCAGAAGGAGCAAGAGAUAACAUUUACAUUCCAUGCCUUGUAUGCCUUCCUCCAUGCAUUUGCUUUCUUACAAAAUGUCAUUGUCCCAACGAUUCACCGUUGACUUCCAAACCACACGACGGCCCCAGGGUGUCGUCAGAGAAUCCGCCACUGCCUUCCCAGUAGAAUUGGAAAAAACAAUGAAGUAUUAAUUACUAAUGUAGUCUUGGUCGGGAGAGGAACUUGUAACUUACAUUUGUUUGAAGUUAUCAAUAAUCAAGUACUCUACUAAAUUUCUUCUUUUAUUAAAGUUAACAAAUUGAAAAUGAAUCAAAUUCAUUUCAACCAUGCUCAACUCGUCCUUGUUUACGUACGAAUCUUGCUGGCCAGAUUCGCUGAACAAGUGAUCCGAUGGCCUAUUAUUCUAUUUCGAAAGUGUGGCAUUCUGUCCUGCUUUCUGCGUCGGUACUCGUUUGGUUUGAUGUUGUUUGGAAAUCUCCGGCCAUCAUGAAGCACUGCUUUAUUGUUUGGCUAGCUAUCCAUGGAAGAUUAGUCAUCAACAUUUUGAUUGCUAUCUCUGUUCUUCAGGAUUUAAGUAACAGACUUAAUUCGUUAAUCCGAAUUAUUUAAGGCCCCAAAUAUUUAUUACAAGGUUUAACCGUAGUUGAGCAAUCGCCCUUGUUGAAAUGGAGUCUCUUUUUGUCAAAGAUCACAACCUUGUUUCAAAGAUAACAAUAAUGUAACAGAAAUUCAAGUUAUGGGGGGAGAAGAGUCCGGAGAAUGAAGAGUAAGAUUACGCCUAAUAAUCUUAAUGCAUCAUGGCGUUUUCACUAGAGAAUUUUGAUCGACGUAAGUGGACUUUUUUGACUCAUGUAUUUAUCCCGGGCUGAUUAUUAUUGGAAAAUUUUUUGACUACCUCGUAACUCACAUCCUAUCUCCGUUACUGCAUAGAAAAAUCUUCACCGUUGCUGAGAUAGACGGUGGAGAUUUCGCGUGAUCGCCAAAAUGUACCUUGGCUUUUGUGAUGGGUGUGAGCUUGUAAAUAGGAAAUUUGGACUAGGACCAAUCAAAUGUUUAACGGGGGCUAAUUUAGGAAUAUGAAAAUAAUUGUAUCAGAUUACCUUACAUAUAACAAAUGUUAUGGAAACAAAGGUUAUAGAAUCUACUAUUAUUAUCAUGAAAUUACCAUAUAGUCAACAAUUUCUAUAAAUCCAUAUCAAUAUAUAAAUUUGCUACCAUAUUCUUCUUUCACUAAUUACACAAAUGCCCUCCAUUACCACUCCCCACCAACCAAAUCCACACUAUAUAAACCAACCAAGCCAAAGCCUUUUACCACACACAAUCUCAAAAACCCUUCAUACAAAACUAUCCGAAUAGAGAUAUGAAUAAGGCAUCUAUGAAGCUGGUUGUUUUGUUCGUGCUCCUAAAUUUCAUCGGAGGUACUUAGUUUUUGUGUUUGGAUACUAAUAAUAAUCGUUCGAAAAAUGUUAAUCCGAUUUUUAAAAUAUUAUAUAAAUACAAUUGGGAUGCGAUUGGUUGUAGGUGAGGCGUCCAACAUUAGAACAGAAGCAAGAGUCGACGAAAUCGAGAUAUUAUGCAGAAGACAGUGUCCUUUUCCAAUAUGUCGUUGCAUAAACGGGAACUGUAUUUGCCCCAAGGACUCGCCGGUGACAUCUUCCACGAAGAUGUCGAAAGUCGGAGAGGAAGGAGCUAGAUUAGAUGGUCGUUAUAUAAGGUUUUGCAGCGCUAAUAACUGUCCACCCCCAUGUCAUUGCGACCCUUAUGAUUGCGCAUGCCCCAACCAAUAGAUUGACGCUCAUUAUUCAUCUCUUUCUUUUUAAUGAUUUUUACGUUUAACUCAAGUAUUAAUAAUAAUUCGGAAAAUAAAUGAAAUAUUAAUGUUUUAGUACAAUGGUAUCAUAUGUUUGUAUUUUUUUAUGUGCUGAAUUUGAACCACAGACUUUCGAAUUAUCAAAAUAUAAUUAUAUUACUAGAUUAACUCCAUUUGAACUACAAUAUCAGACUACAUGGAACAUAGAGUUUCUUGAUUUAAAAAUGAUGAGAAUGGAUGUAUGCACGAUGCCCGCUUCGAUUACAAUAAAUGUGUAAUUUACAUGUUUAUUUUGAGAUAUCAAGCCUAAGUUAAAAUCGUUAAGGUAUAAAAUGAGUGGAAAUUUCAACAUGAANNNNNNNNNNNNNNNNNNNNNNNNNNNNNNNNNNNNNNNNNNNNNNNNNNNNNNNNNNNNNNNNNNNNNNNNNNNNNNNNNNNNNNNNNNNNNNNNNNNNNNNNNNNNNNNNNNNNNNNNNNNNNNNNNNNNNNNNNNNNNNNNNNNNNNNNNNNNNNNNNNNNNNNNNNNNNNNNNNNNNNNNNNNNNNNNNNNNNNNNNNNNNNNNNNNNNNNNNNNNNNNNNNNNNNNNNNNNNNNNNNNNNNNNNNNNNNNNNNUAAAAUUACCAUACGAAGAUAUUAGUUUUCUUUUUUCACAUAUUUUCCAUAAUUAUAAUAACAUACAAGGCAAUAAAUCUAAAUUUACCAUAUACAUAAAAGAAUUCAAUACUUUAUCUUGUAUAAACAGAUUUACUACCAUACUUGUUUACAAAAUUAUCUAUAUGCGACGAUAUUAAUUUUCUUUAUCACAUAUUUCCAUUAUUAUAUAAAAUAACAUUCAAGACAAUAGUCCAAAUUUACAAUAUACUUAAAAAACCAAUUAUUUAUUAUAAAUCCUAAUCAAUAGAUUUACUACCAUAUUAUUAUUUAGUUUAAAAAAUAAAAAUACUUUUCAUACUAAUUACCAGCAUCCUAAUCCACAGUAUAUAAAUCAACCAAAUCUAAACUCUCAAUCCACACAUCUAAAACACUUACACAACUAUUAGAACUGCAAAGCUCUAUUGAGAGACAUGGAUAAGUCAUCUAUGAAGCUUGUUUUUUUGGUUGUGUUGUUGAUUUUCAUCGCAGGUACUUAGUUUUUUUUCUUAGAAUACUAUCGCGUGAAUACGAUUUUAAGAAUAUUUGAUAAAUAUGAUUUGACGAUGCAAUUGUUAUAGGUGAGACUUCGAACAUCGGAGCAGAAGGAAGCAGAGUCGACCAACAGGGCACAACAUGCCAAGUCUGCCAUCCACCAUGCGCGUGCUUGAAUGGAAGUUGCUUGUGCCCCAAGCUCGAUUCGCCACCGGAAUUUGGGUGUACUCCUAAGUCAUGUAAACCACCAUGUUACUGCUUUGAUCUUAACUGCAGAUGUCCCUGAACCCCUCAGGAUGCAAGCUUUGAUCUUUACUUGUUUGUCUAGCUAGGUUAUCAAAUAAACUCUUAUCUAUUUUCUCAUUAUCAUCAAUAAAAUGAAAAUGUAGUUUUCUUAAUGACGAAUUCGAAUCAGAUCAGACAGUCUGGCCGAUUCGGUCCGGUUCUGUUUCAGUUACGGACAGUUCAUUUAUAAAGAUCAUGGUUCAAUCACUGCCUCUCCCAACAGUGGCGUAGCCAAAAUUUCUACUAAGUGGGGUUCAUAACCAUAAAAUAUAAGAAAUAUGAAAGAAAAUUUUGAAUAUAAAUACUAAAGUUUCAUGCAAGAUUAGGAUCGGAACAAGGAUUAAAAUAUGCAUGGAGGUUGAUUUGAAAUAUAAACAACUUAGAAAAAUUGCAGGGCAAAAUGCAAGUGAUGAAGGAUAUAUAACUUAGAAAAACAAAGUUCAAGGCCAGAACCAAAAGACUACACCAUACUUCGUUAUUUUUCAAUUAUUAUUAACUCAGAAAAUACAAUGCAACUCCACGAUCAUAGAAACAACUCCCGACAAUGUAGAUGAUGAUCGAGCGUCGAUCGAUCGAUCGAGCUACUGGGAAGGAAGCGGUGGCUGCAUUAAUUCUCCGUUGCAUCUGCAAGUGAAAUCCAAGCAGUAACAUGGAUGUUUACAUUUAGCUCGGUCACACACGGCCACAACUUCUUUUCCUUCUGCUCCGACGAAUUUCGACGUCCGGGAAAUCAACGACGAAUCAUCCUUAGGGCACAAGCAGAUUCCGUAGAAGCAAUGGCAUGGUUUAUGGCAGCGUUUUCUGCAUAUUGCGUCCUCGACCGAUCUUCCUUCUGCUCCGAUGGUCCACGUUGUCCCGCCUAUACCGUCACAGUUCAAUCAUAUUACUAUAUUAGCCAACUGCGGAAAAAGGGUGAGCCAACCUAGAUUACGAUGACUAGGAGUCCCUUAGAUUUCAAAAUGAUGAAAAUCGAUGUGAUUUUUUCAAAAUCGAAUGGCUUUUGUUUCAUGACGAUGAACAUCUUCCACUUUGUGACGUCUUUUUGGUAUAAGUAAAUGAUAUUAUUAACAGGAGGGUAUGUUCCACCAAGAAUGAAACACAAACUCAAACAAAGACAAUCAACAAACAAGCGGGCUGGAGAAAAACUACCAACCGUACAGUAACACAAAUCAGACCAAGAGAGGGUUUGGGAAACGAAAGAAACAGAAACGGGAGCCCUGAACACAAGCAGCAGCUAACCCCAUACCAAAUGUAGGGGUUGUCGAUUUUUAGCCCGAAUACUUUUUAAAGCAGACUAGAUAUACGUGCUACAAGAGGACACUGAAGUGUGCGCUCUCCGACAUUCAAACCUGGGAAAUCGACGGAGCUACCACCUCAUCUACACCCUGUUCGCUGAAAUUGAAAAUUUUAUUUCCCGAAUUUGAUAUUAAUUGACUUUUAAACUUGCUAUCCUGGCUUACCGGUAGCGAACACCAAGAGAACGACAACGAAAGCUAGUUUCGGCGAAGAGACAGCCAUUUUUACACCAAGCUUUGGUUGAGUUUUUUGUUUCCUUUUCUAGUUGUUGAGAUGGUUGUGUGCAUUUGGUUUGGUUAUAUAGGACGAUUGGUUGUAGUCAUGGUUUCUCUUCCCAUACCAAUAGAUGAAGAGUCUUUAGUUGUUAAGAAAUUUGUUGAUAAGAAUUAAGAGCUAUAGUGUAAUAAAUACAUAAAAUUGCAGAGUAUCUAGAUAUUUAUGGCGGAAUUGAAUGCAAGUUUGUUUGACUAUAGACAAUCUAGAAAGACUGAAGCUUACAAUGAAUGACAAUGCUUGCUCUAUGAGGAUCAUCCAGCCGCCGGCAGAAGUACUCCGGUUAGAUACUGGCCAUUUUUCGUAACUAGUUACAUUCAGCGAUAACUAAUUACGUACAUUAAACGAUAACUUGUUACGGACGAUUAUAAUUAGUUAUAAUGGGUUUGGACCCUCGCCGGCGUUUGAUUGGCGAUUAUAACUAAGCUAAUUAUAUGCAAAAAUGAUAUCGGCACCAAAAAAAUUAUGAGUUUAUACAGAGUCCAUAUUCCUUGUAUAACAUCUUUGUAUAAAGCUUGUGUACGUAUAAACGGUAUAUUUGUAUACAGUUAGGAUAUGGAUAUUGAGUUCAACGAAGCAUAUUAAAUGAAUGAAAAGAGUGUUUUGUUAUUUAUUUAUGUGUUUUAUUAUUUGUUUAUUGGAUAACUUAUCCUGGAUUUACCAAUGCUCGACAUGUUGGUUGGAAAGUUGUCCGCCGGUCGCCGGAGGUAUAUUGGGUGACGUGGCAAAAAAUAAACAAAUUUGUAAUAUUAAAGGAAAAAUACAUAUUUUCAUCCGUGUAUUAUGUAAAAUUUACAUUGACAUCCUUUUAUUAAAUUUUAACAGAUCAGUCUUUUUAAAUUUUAACGGUUUUAAUAAACACNNNNNNNNNNNNNNNNNNNNNNNNNNNNNNNNNNNNNNNNNNNNNNNNNNNNNNNNNNNNNNNNNNNNNNNNNNNNNNNNNNNNNNNNNNNNNNNNNNNNNNNNNNNNNNNNNNNNNNNNNNNNNNNNNNNNNNNNNNNNGAAAAUAAAAAAUUUUUUUCCUUUUAUAAAAAUGCGAAAAUAAUUCCAAAUUAUGAGCCGUUAAAUUUGUGAAACUUUAAACUCGGUUUUAAAUGCCUAAAUCCCAAACUCAACAAACAAAUUCAUGAUUCAACAAUUAUUGUUUCCUUUACAUAUAUGAAGAAAUUAAUAGGGAAAUUUGAUUUUAAAAUGGAAAAAAAUAUUAAUAUUAGAUUUUAUACCAUUUUUUUUGUUGACGUCAGAUUUUAUACCAUAUUAUUCAUGUAGUUGAGCGGGGAUGAUAAUAAUUAAUUAAUUAUCCUUUAUGGUUUAAUUAUUCACUUAUAAAUUUAUCAUCCUAGAUGUCAAGCCACCAAGUACUAAUUCCAAAUCAUUUGGUACCAAACUCAUAGGAGAAAAUCACAAAAUAAACCAGAGAUGGUGGAAUGAUAUAUAAUUAAUUACCUUAGUGGUCUAGUUAUUUACUUACACUUCAAACUAUUAUAUAAACCAGAGAUAGCAAAGGAGAGCAACACAUCAAGCACUUCCAAAAUCAUUUGGUACCAAACCCAUAUAUAGGAGUAAAUUACAAAAUAGUCCUUAUAUCAAAUAUGGAGAAAACUUAUUGAAGUUGGUCUUUUUGACCCUUAAAUUCUGUUAAAUUUAUGACUCGAUAAACCUUCAAUUCAAAUACAUUGUGAUCUGUAACUCGAUAUAUUAUAACUCGUGGUAGGUGGGAACAUGAGGAACAAAGUUGAAGCUAGGGUUAACUCAGACGACCUGCUGCCAUGCAAUAGCUCCUGCGUGCCGCCGGAAUGUUAUUGUCUCGCAGGGUUAUGCCAUUGCAAAGGAGUUCAACAUUCUCUGGUCGCCGGCAACCUCGUACCAACUCAUGAACUCAUGAACUCAAGAAUUAAUUAAUUUGUAAUUUAUGAAUUACAAACUUACAAGUAGUAUAGAUGGACACAUGUCUGUUAUUGUGUUCAUUUAUAUUAUUUAAAAUUUCUAUAAUAAGUAAAAUUAAAUAACAUCUCAUUGGUCGCAAUCGAUUAUUUGCUUACAUCUAAAAUAGUGGUUGAUUUUGAGCAAAUAAUUCUGGUGGUGUACCAAUAUUCAUGAAAGUAUUUUUUUCAAAUAGAGGUAAUAUUAAUUGGGUUAUGGGUUAAUUGAAUUAUGAGUUAAUCGGGUUUUGGGUCGCCACAGGUUAAGUAAACCACCACAUGCAUGCAAAAAGUAAGCCAAUUUGAAAAUUUUCAACACUAACAUAGCACUAAAAGUUUUAAUUUAUAACUUCAUUUGGUCAUUAUUUAUAGGGGUUACCAUACUUUUUUCAAAUUGGCUAAUAUUUCAUAUGCAUGUUGGAAAUGGCUAAAAAUCCAAAUUUCACCAUGUUAACCCCUCCAAAUAAUAGUCAAAUGGAGUUAAAAAAUAUUUUCUCCGAGACUGUAUGGUAAUGAUGUUAUGUUUUAGUAUUGAAAGUUUUCAAAUUGGUUAAUUUCUUGCAAGCAUCUUGAGAAAAACUAGAAAUAUGUUGAUAUAUAUAAUUAUGCGCCUGUUAAUUCACAAACAUCUGUUUGUCACUGUACAAAGAAAACCUUUCAGGAUGAAGAAGUAGAUCACACUCAAAUUUCGAAGACCUUCAAGCACUUGAAAAUCGAGUUGUAUUUGUUUGUUGAAAAUGAAAGGUCUUUUUUGAAUGGUUUAUUUUGGAUUUGUCGUCUUAGGUUAUUCACCGUAGUUGAUAUGAACCAUAUAAAAGGUGGUGGUGUUGAGAGUCACUAAAACCUUUCACUAAAACCGAACCAUAGAGAAGGUGGUGUUGUUGAGAGUACUCACUAAAACCGAACCAUAGAGAAGGUGGUGGUGCUGAGAGUAUUCACUAAAACCAAGUAUUCAUGAAUUUGACUUCAGGGUAUUCACUAAAACCUUUCACCGAUGACAGUGGGAGAAGAGGGUUUAAUGAGCAUCGGAGUUGGGUACAUCAACUCAAAGACGUGAAGAUGAUAAAUGAGCCAAUGGGUACGAGUCCACCGCAAAAUUGCUUCGAACGAACUUGGUAGUAAUAUAUUUCAUGUAAGCUUAAUAAAUCUGUAGAAAGUUCAUCGGUUGUUACACCGAUCUAGAGAGAAAGGUGUCAUUGUGGCUCGAAUCUUUUUUAAGGUCGCAAACCCAUAAGUCGUAACUUAGUUCUUUUGUCCGAAAAGAGGCUACUUAUAUAUUAAAACUCUUGGCUAAAGAUGUUCGUCCCAUCAAACGAACCCUUAGGAAGACUACCACCCAUAACAGGUAAACCCCGGCAGCACAAAGAGUUAGCAUAUGUUAAUACAUUCGUGCUAUCAGUCAUCCCAAAUAACCAAACCUUGAACGGAGACUUUCAACUCAGGCGCCGAGAACAACCAGACAACGAAAGCAAGAAAACAAUAAAAGUUCAAACCAAAAAAAACAUCUGAGACUAAGAAAACAAUAAAUGACCGGUGGAGCCCGUACUGGGGACACCCAAAACAUCAAACACUCAGAGGUCGAUCCCUCGAGUGAGUUCUUGUCAACGAAUCACUUCUUGUAGUAGGGCCUAUUGUUCAAGCCUGCAGUUACUAGGUUUUUUGGGUGUUCCUGGAUACCCACAAAAGUCACUAAAUGUCCUUCUUCGUCUAGCUGCAGACCGUCCGCUCUUCGGUCCAUCGCAUCAUCUUCACAUUUUGACAUAAUCAUCUCCAUCGUCGAUCCGCGGUUAAGAAAAGAAAGAAAAAACUCUAGCCAUCACUAUUGUAAACCCUAAUAUAUAGGGAAAACCUCUAAAAAGAAGGAAUAUUAAAACAUGAAUCACAACCUUAACAUUGAUGUCGUUAUUUAGACCUCGUUGUAAUCGUCUACCCGUCAACUGCCAGCUGGCAGAGUAACCCCGCCUAAAACAUUUAGUAAAGCAUUUUAGUCGUAACUUAGUUCAGUUUCCAUUUGAUUGGCUUUUUAAUAAUUACUUCACAAAAAAUGUCAUCUAAACUAGGCAAUCCUGGAUAAAUUUAUUUAAAAUUUACUAAAAUUUUAAUGAAUGAAACUAGGAAUGCAAAUUCAUAUCAAACUUUGCGAAGGAUAUAUGUUUUCUUUUUUUUUUAUUUACCUUAUAUAUUCUAUUGGAAAUUUAUAGGAAGGAAUCAUGCAAUUUUUAUUUCCUUACGUAUAAUGAAGCUAAAUAAGGCAAAGAGAUUUUAAAUGGAACAAAAUAUUUUGUUAUCGAUCAUACUAUCCAUGUAAUUGGCUGAAUAAUAUUAUGGGUCGUUUGGAUAAAGGAUUUAAAUAGAUAAAUUGAAGAUGAUUUAGACCUAAAUGAAUAUUUGAUCCCAUUAUCUUUUUGGGCUAACUAGGUGAUAUGAUUAUAAAUAAAUUGAGACGUUUUCACUUUUUUCACUCAAAAUCAUCAACUCAAAUAAAUAUAUAAUAAAGGGAAAAAAACUAAACAUUAUCCCCCAAAUUCUAGAUAAGCAUGCACAAAGUUAUUUAAUAUAUUAUAGACAAUUUGUAAAUGAAAUUAGGAAUGAAAAUUAUUGCGGAAAUGAAAAAUUUCUGAAGGAUAAGUUCUUCUGUAGUUUGAAUUGGAAAGUUAUAGCAAGGAAUGUAUACUGAAGAAGCUAAUAAGGCAAGAAAAAUAUUAACCUUAUAUUUUUUUUAUCAUAAUAUUUAAUUACCUUUAUGGUUCAAUUAUUUAGUUAUAAAAUCAAUUAUCCUAGACAUCAUCAUCAUCAUAUCCUAAUUAUCAAACAUGGACAAAGCUUCCUUCAACUUGAUCCUUUUUGCUGUCCUCUUGGGUCUAGCUCAGGCCGACCUUGCUCGAAUCAAACACGACCUCUGCGAUGACUCCCCCUACGUAUACCGUCCCUCGAAGGAGCUUCCUCGUGGCCGUUUCGAAUUCCCCAAAGGGUUCAUCUUUGGAACCUCCACAUCUUCUUAUCAGGUUAUUCAUUACUUCACUGUUUAAUCCUAAACUUGAGUACCACUGACCUAGCUAAUAAGUACUCCUUUCCUCUCGUUCUUUUCGCCUGCACGGGGAUGAAGAUCGAAGGCGCUGCAAAUUUCACGUACGGAAAGGGUCCGAGCGUCUGGGAUAGAUUUACUCAUGACUUUCCAGGUCUAUUCUAGUUGGAUGAAACUUACAUUUUUCGAUACGUUACAGAGAUUAAUCGAUAUGUUACACUGAUUAAUCGAUGUUACAAUUAUUUAUUUCCUUGUAGAUAGGAUUCUGGGAGGUGGUAAUGGAGAUGUGGCGAUAGAUUAUUAUCACAGGUUCAAGGUAUAUAUAUUUAUUGGGGUUUUAAUGACAUCAUCAAUGAUAAUCAACCCUCCCCUGUAAUAAUAUAACUAGUUAUAUUUGCUGUAACAGGAAGAUAUAGUGAGAAUGAAGUAUUUGAACAUAGAUGCUUACAGAUUUUCCAUCUCUUGGUCUCGAAUCAUACCGUGUAAGAACGAUUAUUCAAUAAUUACAAGUCGUAUUGUUUCAUAUUUUACUUAUAUCUAAAGUUGAAUAUCCAGCUGGCAAGAGAAGUGAUGGAGUUAAUAGAGAAGGAAUCGAGUUUUACCAUAGGAUCCUUGAUGAUCUCAUUGAGCAUGGUAAAAAUAUUAUUUUGAGUGAUUGAAUUACCAAUUUGGGUAAAUUGGAUUAGUGUUCUUGAUCAUCAAUGCUGCUUGUGUAUGUAGAAAUCAAGCCUGUUGUCACAAUAUGGCACUGGGAUACUCCUCAAGGUCUUGAGGCUGAGUAUGGUGGCUUUUUAAGUCGCGACAUUGUGUAAGUUGAUGUACUGAAACGUGAAUUUGAUUUCGAGCAAGUACGUAAGGGGUCGUUUAGUGAUUAUCAUCUUCGAUUCUUGAAUUAUGCAGGAAAGACUUUGAGGAUUACUGUGACGUAUUGUUUCAAGAAUAUGGUGAGAAAGUAUAUAAGUGGAUAACUUUGAACGAGCCUCAGGGUCUCUCAGUGAAAGCGUAUGAUGAAGGAGUUUUUGCACCUGGACAUUGUUCUGCAUGGGUUAAUAGAAAAUGUCUACUUGGAGAUUCCGCAACUGAACCUUAUAUUGUUACACAUAAUCUUCUUCUUGCUCAUUCCGCCGUUUACCACUUAUACAAAAACAAGUAUCAGGUUUGUUUUAUUUUCCAAUUAAUAUUUCUGUUGUUGAAAAUAAAAUAGAGAGAUUACUUUUAAAUUUUUUUUGUGAAAUUCAUUUUAUUUGCAGAAUCUUACCGCAGAAAUAGGAAUUACCCUUAUCACAUAUUGGUUCGUUCCUUACUCUAAUACAACAGAAGACAUUGAUGCUGCCCAAAGAGCUUUGGACUGGAUGUUUGGUUGGUGAGUAGUCUUUUAAUUUCUUAUAUAUAUAUUUUCAAAUUACAUCCCAAUUUUUUUUCAUUUUUAGGAAACUAAAUUCAUUAUUUUGAAUGCAGGUACAUGGAUCCAAUAACCUAUGGACACUAUCCUAGAAUCAUGAUAGAAUUAUUGGGAUCUCGUUUGCCGAAAUUCACAGAAAAUGAGUCACACUUGCUUAAAAAGUCAUAUGACUUUUUGGGCCUAAAUUAUUACACUGGUUACUAUGUUAGGAACAAUGAUAAUUUUGAUCAUUCUCAUCUUCGAUAUGCAACAGAUAACCACGGCAUUACUACACGUAUAAUAUUCAAUAUCCCAAUUAUUUUUAUAAAUCUAUUUGGUUCUUCCAUAUCAUUUUCAAGAUAAAACUUUUAAAAGUUCUAAUGAAGAUUUUUUUUUCCUUGAUCAGCUGAUAGAGACGGACAAUACAUCGGACCACAUGUAUGUGAUAAACAUGCUCAAAAUAUAUAUUACUAGUUGAUAACAUAGAAUUGAUUAAAUAAUUGAUGUUUUUUUUUCACGCAGUUGGGUUCGUACUGGCAUUAUCUAUAUCCCGAAGGUUUGCGAGUGCUAUUGGAGUACACUAAGGAAAAAUAUGAAGACCCCAUUAUUUACAUUACCGAAAGUGGUACAGAGUUAUAGCGAAAUUAUAUAAUGAUGCAAAUAAAAGUAAUUAACUAUUUGAUUAUGUAAUAUUAAUUAAUUGAUGAUCAGGAUUGUCGAGGAAGGACAAUGCUACACAAACACUUGAAGAGGCACUAGAUGACCAAAUCAGGAUUGGUUUUUACAACAGUCAUCUUACAAGUGUGAAGCAAGCCAUGAUGUCAGUACUACAUACAUACAGUUUCUUGUUUAUAUAACAUUAAUAAGAAUAACAUAUGAAUAUGUCUGGAAUGCAGCGAGAAGCAGGUGAACGUGAAAGGGUUCUUCGCAUGGUCGUAUAUCGACAACUUCGAAUGGAACGAAGGAUACACAGUCAGGUUCGGGCUGUACUACAUUAACUACACCGAUCUCUCCGUACACCCCAAGUACUCUGCAUGCUGGUUCACCAAUUUUUGCAGCAAAUCCCGACCAAAGUCUUUUGAUUACUUUGAUCUUGACAAGCUCAUCGCUACUCGUGCUUCUCCCGGUGGCCGUCGGGCUCUCUCCUCCGUCGAACAAUAAGAAGAAUAAAGGGAAAGAUAUCUGAGUCUCUGGUCAAUCGUGGUGAAAAUAUACAUGUAAGACAUGCAUCAAGGUCAUGACUAGGAUGGUGUCUUGGUUAAAUAACUAUGUAUACUGUGUGUUAAUUAUACUACAUAAUUUCAGUUGUGUGUGUUAAGAAUAAGCUACUGGAGUUUUCUGUCUUCCUGGGUUGUUUUAUUCUGGUUCCCCUGGAUUUGCUCCUUCUGUGUGUAAUAUUUGAAAAUUUUGUAAUAUUUGCAAUUGCAAUUUCAGAGAGAGAUGAAAAAAUUGGCUUGACAACGGGUGGGUACGUAAACAAAUUUAAUAUAUUUGUCACCCACUUAUAUAGUUUCUGGAUUGUACUUGCCUUAUCAAAUGGUUUCCGUACAUAAAUGGAUAUAAUAUUGGAACCAUUAUCAUUUAUUUACGGAUUUUAAGUUAAAAAAUUAUCGACCACUCAGAAAACUAGACCAAAUAAAAAACGCGUUCGUAUAAUAUAUAAGGAAUCCUUCUCAAAUCUUAUAUUUGUUUUCUAGGGUAAAAGGAUCGCACAUAGUUUAGCUAAAGCUAAAAAAAAUUCGAAAAAAGAAAAGGGAUAGGAGAAAAAAAA
RNAcentral lists this long non-coding RNA (19046 nucleotides) under Linum usitatissimum (flax). Its description in RNAcentral is "long non-coding RNA (LUSI_LNC005799)". Lineage: Eukaryota; Viridiplantae; Streptophyta; Magnoliopsida; Malpighiales; Linaceae. The record is from RNAcentral.